UCUCCUGGAAAACGGGUGGUAAUGCCGGAUGCUCCAGUCCAUCGCAUGGUGGUCUGGGAAAGAUUCCAUCGGUAUGGGAUGGGGUCGCGUCCUAUCAGCUUGAUGGCGGGGUAACGGCCCACCAUGGCUUCGACGGGUAGCCGGCCUGAGAGGGCGACCGGCCACAUUGGGACUGAGAUACGGCCCAGACUCCUACGGGAGGCAGCAGUGGGGAAUAUUGCACAAUGGGCGCAAGCCUGAUGCAGCGACGCCGCGUGCGGGAUGGAGGCCUUCGGGUUGUAAACCGCUUUUGAUCGGGAGCAAGCCCUUCGGGGUGAGUGUACCCUUCGAAUAAGCACCGGCUAACUACGUGCCAGCAGCCGCGGUAAUACGUAGGGUGCAAGCGUUAUCCGGAAUUAUUGGGCGUAAAGGGCUCGUAGGCGGUUCGUCGCGUCCGGUGUGAAAGCCCAUCGCUUAACGGUGGGUCUGCGCCGGGUACGGGCGGGCUGGAGUGCGGUAGGGGAGACUGGAAUUCCCGGUGUAACGGUGGAAUGUGUAGAUAUCGGAAAGAACACCA
RNAcentral lists this ribosomal RNA (556 nucleotides) under Bifidobacterium dentium. Its description in RNAcentral is "bacterial SSU rRNA". It matches the Rfam family "Bacterial small subunit ribosomal RNA", at positions 146 to 711 of the family's 1533-position model. The record is from RNAcentral. Lineage: Bacteria; Bacillati; Actinomycetota; Actinomycetes; Bifidobacteriales; Bifidobacteriaceae.